CACCAGACUCCUACGGGAGGCAGCAGUGGGGAAUAUUGCACAAUGGGGGAAACCCUGAUGCAGCAACGCCGCGUGAGUGAAGAAGUAUUUCGGUAUGUAAAGCUCUAUCAGCAGGGAAGAAGAAAGACGGUACCUGACUAAGAAGCCCCGGCUAACUACGUGCCAGCAGCCGCGGUAAUACGUAGGGGGCAAGCGUUAUCCGGAUUCACUGGGUGUAAAGGGAGCGUAGACGGCGACGCAAGUCUGGAGUGAAAGCCCGGGGCCCAACCCCGGGACUGCUCUGGAAACUGCGGCGCUGGAGUACGGGAGGGGCAGGCGGAAUUCCUGGUGUAGCGGUGAAAUGCGUAGAUAUCAGGAGGAACACCGGCGGCGAAGGCGGCCUGCUGGACCGUGACUGACGUUGAGGCUCGAGAGCGUGGGGAGCAAACAGGAUUAGAUACCCUUGUA
RNAcentral lists this ribosomal RNA (447 nucleotides) under uncultured bacterium. Its description in RNAcentral is "partial 16S ribosomal RNA". It matches the Rfam family "Bacterial small subunit ribosomal RNA", at positions 329 to 792 of the family's 1533-position model. The record is from RNAcentral.